This 434-nucleotide ribosomal RNA is filed under the name uncultured Anaerostipes sp. RNAcentral describes it as "bacterial SSU rRNA". It matches the Rfam family "Bacterial small subunit ribosomal RNA", at positions 341 to 792 of the family's 1533-position model. Lineage: Bacteria; Bacillati; Bacillota; Clostridia; Lachnospirales; Lachnospiraceae. The record is from RNAcentral.
ACGGAAGGCAGCAGUGGGGAAUAUUGGACAAUGGGCGCAAGCCUGAUCCAGCGACGCCGCGUGAGUGAAGAAGUAUUUCGGUAUGUAAAGCUCUAUCAGCAGGGAAGAUAAUGACGGUACCUGACUAAGAAGCCCCGGCUAACUACGUGCCAGCAGCCGCGGUAAUACGUAGGGGGCAAGCGUUAUCCGGAAUUACUGGGUGUAAAGGGUGCGUAGGUGGUAUGGCAAGUCAGAAGUGAAAACCCAGGGCUUAACUCUGGGACUGCUUUUGAAACUGUCAGACUGGAGUGCAGGAGAGGUAAGCGGAAUUCCAAGUGUAGCGGUGAAAUGCGUAGAUAUUAGGAGGAACAUCAGUGGCGAAGGCGGCUUACUGGACUGAAACUGACACUGAGGCACGAAAGCGUGGGGAGCAAACAGGAUUAGAUACCCUGGUA